GGUAGCGUGGCCGAGUGGUCUAAGGUGCUGGAGUUAGGCUCCAGUCUCUGGAGGCGUGGGUUUGAAUCCCACUGCUGCCA
Molecule: transfer RNA, 80 nt
Filed under: Megalops atlanticus (tarpon)
Lineage: Eukaryota; Metazoa; Chordata; Actinopteri; Elopiformes; Megalopidae
Rfam family: tRNA
About the family: Transfer RNA (tRNA) molecules are approximately 80 nucleotides in length. Their secondary structure includes four short double-helical elements and three loops (D, anti-codon, and T loops).
Source: Rfam by way of RNAcentral